CAGGCCUAACACAUGCAAGUCGAGCGGUAGCACAGAGAGCUUGCUCUCGGGUGACGAGCGGCGGACGGGUGAGUAAUGUCUGGGAAACUGCCUGAUGGAGGGGGAUAACUACUGGAAACGGUAGCUAAUACCGCAUAACGUCGCAAGACCAAAGAGGGGGACCUUCGGGCCUCUUGCCAUCAGAUGUGCCCAGAUGGGAUUAGCUAGUAGGUGGGGUAACGGCUCACCUAGGCGACGAUCCCUAGCUGGUCUGAGAGGAUGACCAGCCACACUGGAACUGAGACACGGUCCAGACUCCUACGGGAGGCAGCAGUGGGGAAUAUUGCACAAUGGGCGCAAGCCUGAUGCAGCCAUGCCGCGUGUAUGAAGAAGGCCUUCGGGUUGUAAAGCACUUUCAGCGAGGAGGAAGGCAUUAAGGUUAAUAACCUUGGUGAUUGACGUUACUCGCAGAAGAAGCACCGGCUAACUCCGUGCCAGCAGCCGCGGUAAU
This 490-nucleotide ribosomal RNA is filed under the name uncultured bacterium. RNAcentral's name for it is "bacterial SSU rRNA". It matches the Rfam family "Bacterial small subunit ribosomal RNA", at positions 43 to 524 of the family's 1533-position model. The record is from RNAcentral.